Long non-coding RNA from Aedes albopictus (Asian tiger mosquito), 4574 nucleotides. RefSeq lists it as uncharacterized. The transcript has 3 exons. NCBI's taxonomy places the organism in Eukaryota, Metazoa, Arthropoda, Insecta, Diptera, Culicidae. The record is from RefSeq and is a predicted model, not a curated record.
UGGCUCCAUCAAUGCCUUCGAGAAGGGGGGAGUGCAGUACAUAUAUGGAGUACUCUCUCUUGGUAAACUAUCCACCAGCACCAGCUUCCGCCUUAAGUUGUCUUCUCUCUCCCUGGAGGAUUGAAUCGUGAUUAGUACUAUAGACUAUAGGCUACCCGUUGAACUCAAACUCCUGGAAGGGGAGGGCGCCAACUCAACCUACUGGUGGUUGGCCCGUAAUUUUUGUCUUUAGUUCAAGUACGAUUCGGGACACCGUGGAAGUUACGGAAUCCCGCUUGUCCGCUCCCGUACACAUCUUUUCAACAAUGCUCGAGACUAUUGCCGAGAUAUUUGACAUUAUCGUCGGCAAUACCAUAACCACCAUGCCUGCACCAUUUUUUGCAGGCAUAGUCCACGUGGCUAUCGAAUUUCAUCUUGUCAUCGAUUAUGACCCCAGCCCCAAUUGCUUCAGUGGGCGCUUGAAAUUGAUCGUGCACUCGCCUUUUUUUUUGUUCUAAGCCAUAGGGGGGAGAUCUGCUCAACAGACACCCGAACAGGAAGGUUCGGGUAGUGUGGGGUUAAAGCCGUCUUCAACAACAAAAGGAAAAGCCAGGACUACUCUCUCCUCGACCCACUACACACAUUCCUAUGGUCGCCAAACCAUCCAAGCGUCUCUCCAGAACCACCAAGAAGGCACUGCUUCAGAGAGGGGCUAGUGCACAUCGCACCCUCAAGGUUAGCUGCGUAGCCUGCAGCAACGAACAUCUAUGGAGAGUUUGUCAAGAUAGCAUCUGGCGCUAAUCCAAUUUCUCGAGUGGUCCUCACCACUCCCUUUGUCCUUGGAAGGCGGGCAGGGUCAACCCCACACCCGUGCCCAACUGUUUUGCAGGCAUCAUGAACUGAUGCCUACAGCGAGCAGGAUCUGAGGAGGAGCGAAACGAACGGCGGGUGGUAUUCGCCGCUGCAAAAGCCGCGCUGAAGACCUAGAUUAUGACUAGCAAAAAUGCCUGCUUUGAGGCACUUAGUCUCUGUCAGAGUGCCAAUGCGAAUCCGUGGGGUGAUGCCUACAUUGUGAUCAUGAUGGCCAAGACGAGAGGUGUAAUAGAAGCCAUCUCCAGAGAAGUUGAAGGGGAUCAUCGAGAGGCUUUUCCUCGUCAUGAUCCUAGGCCUCCUUUCGUAGGACAGCCGGGGACUGGGGCUGGCGAUGAGGAGAGGGUCACCGAUGUGGAACUUGCGUAGGCGUAUAGGAAAGGCCCCAGGUCCGGACGGAGUUCCGAACCUGUGUUACGUUUUAGUAUAUUCUGUUGUAAAUUGGCACAAUUACAUUCAUAAUCAGUUAAACUAGCCACACUCGGAGGAAAAGCAAACCCUCAAAUAAUGCCCACUCGAACUUACAUGCCAACCGCCAAUUUAAAUUGCACCCCGUUAGACCGACAAACGCUUAUGCCGACAAGCCCGACGCUGCUGUCAAUCAAGCAAAGCGGCGCGACGAACGCCGCCAACACACAUACUGCUGCAUCGGGUUCAGAAAACACAAAACUUCUGAUCUGCCGCCACGUCACCCAGUGAUGCCACAUACACAGAUUUAGCUAGAAUUACACAGAUUUUUUCCCAUUUUCGCCUACAGAUAUCUGUGAUCACAGAUCAAAGAUUUUUGCAAUAAAAAAGAUUUUAAAGAUUUUUAAAUCUAUGACAAUGACUUUCGUGAAAAAAAGCUUCAUUAUAAUUUUCAGGUACUCAAAUUUAAAUAAUAGAAAUUAAAUCUUCUAGUUUGAUGGGCUAAGCCAUGCCUCAGGCGCAUUGUUAUCGACGUUCUUGUGGUUUCUGAUGAUCUUCAGAUGCAACCUGGGAGUGUUUUGGUCGACGUUAUUCUAAGAACAUAUGUUUUCCGUUGUUUUUUAAACAAAUUAUUCAAAAAUAUUCGAUUUUGGAGACAUUAACCUAUCACAGAUUUUUACUAAGAUUUUCUGAAAUUUCCUACAGAUGAAAAAGAUUUUUUUGACCAAAAUCACAGAUGAAAACUGAAAAAAUGUGGCAACACUGACGUCACCGCAAAGCAUCACUCCACAAAAGUUGUUCGAUAGUGUCGGGUGUGCUCAUCGUGUGUGGAUCGUUUAGCAUCCACGAACAAGUAGAGAAGGCGAAAAUCAAAGACGGUUAGGUUGAGAGGUCGAGCAGAACCACACGGGAACGGUUGCCGUGUCCCAUACGGCACGGUGAAGCACGGACGACACGCCUGGCAUCGAACAAUCGACAAAAGCACACUCUGGAUCGCCACGUGUCUGGAAAGAAACGAAGCUCUCAAUCGAUCCGAAGCAGCAGGCCAAACGGUGCGGACAGCACGAGAAUAAUCAAAAACCCCUCUGGGGUUUUUAUGUCGCACUGGAUUGCGUCACACCAUCGCUUUUCGGAGGCGGUAAUCACCGGCCAAGGUGCACGCAAGGCCAGGCAGCUUCGAUCGGACCAGCAGACCGGAAUCAGUUCCCUCGGACGGAUCAGCGGAAGCAGGAGCUACAGUUCGGAAAAAGAGCACUCUCGGCUGCCAUCACCCGAGAAAGGAUCGCCGACAGGCGGCUUCGGAAGAGACCUACGAACACAGGGCAUCGCUGUUGAAGUGAGGUUAUGCUCCGGAUGUAACAUCACGGGAAGAAGGCCGUCGGUUCAGAACUGCGAGUGCGAAAGGCGUCGGAAAGAGGCACGUUCCGAAGAGUGCCGGAUUCGAGCGAAGCGUCGAGAGGAACAAACACGGUGCUGGGCAGAUAUCACGGGUGACGUGGCGCAGUGAGGAGAAGCACGUUUGCCGAAUGUGCUCGGUUGGCGACGGCGGGCAGGAAGAACCAAAGUGUGGAAUGUGACUUUGGUACCGUGAGUACCCGCUAGAUUUAAGUAAAAAUGAGAGGAUAAAGGUAGCGUCAGGUCGUUAGGAGUUAGUGCAGCAGGAGAGCAGGAUGAUUUCUGCAAAAUAUAUGUGUGGAAAAAUGUGAUUAUGCCUUUUGAUUAGUUGGUGCGAUAGCCCUCCAGUGUCUGUGCCCUUUUGCUCUUUGGUUAGUCGCUCUACCGAGCCGGGAAUUUCACAACACCUGGCCUUAGAAGUAGCUAUUGCAGAGGCUCCCGAGAUGUUCAGGUCUGCUAUGCAGAUAUGCCUGGGCAAGGGAGUUUCCCAGAAGUAUGGAAGAGGCAGAGCCUGGUUCUAUUGCCAAUGGCGGGGAAUCCACCCGUGAGACCCGUCGGCAUAUAGACCAAUAUGCUUGAUCACACGGCGAGGAAGGUACUCGAAAAGAUCAUCCUCAGAAGAAUGUUGCGGCGCACCGAGAGUGUAAAUGAUCUCUUGAGUAGCCAGUACGGCUUCCGGAAGAGGAGGUCGACCGUAGACGCUAUCCUGUCGGUUACAAAAACCGCCGGGAAAGCACUUGAGUGUAAGAGAAGGGGGAUUCGCUACUGUGCAGUAAUAACUCUGGAUGUAAGGAACGCGUCUAAUAGCGCAUGUUGGCGAGUUAUUGCCAAUGCGCUCCUGCAUCUGGUAAUACCCGGGUACCUGUACAAGAUUCUUGGAAGCUACUUCCAGAAUCGAGUACUAGUUUACGACACAGGGGUGGGUCGGAAGUGCUUGCACAUAACCUCAGGAGUCCUGCAAGGUUCCAUCCUGGGUCCGGUGUUAUAAGAUGUCAUGCACGACGAGAUGUUGAGGUUAGAGGUCGGGGUGGAAGUGGAGAUUGUCGGCUUUGCUGACGACGUUACGCUCGAAGUCUACGGCGAAUCGAUCGAAGAAGAGGAGUUGACUACUCGACUACCACUCGAUCAAGGUUGUGGAGACGUGGAUGAGGUCCAGGAAAUGGCGGCCCGGCUUGGGGCGCGGCGCUAAGUACCAAAAGCUAGCUGGAAAGUACUUAUAGGCUAAUGUGCCUGAGGGUUGCUAGCGUGUACCGUACCGUGUCACACGAUGCACUCUGCGUCAUCACUGCACCUGCGCUGCUGUAGAUACUUGUUGUGGCAAAGUUAUUUAACUGCGCUACUGCCAGUGAAUAGAAUUGUCAGACAAAAGAGGCACAAAACAAGCAACAAAGAAGGCGCGACGAUUACUCUUUAUCUCUAUUGGUAACAGAUAAUGACAUGAUCUCGAUUUUUUUUUUGUUGCAGACAAAACAGAAGCUGGAUUUGUUGCGUACUUUUCAACUCGUGAAUAAUCAAUUAUUACUAACCCAAAGUCGAAACUGUUUGAUGAUAGAGCUUCACCAGGGUUGCAGUGUUCACCGACUCGAAGUUACCGUUCGAAAAUUGCAAUAUAAGGCAUAAAAAUCUCUAAAUUCGUGGUGUACGAUGUUUAUCCUAUUAUUUUCAAGUUGGGACAAAGAUAUGUCGCAUUUGGUGGAUUGUCGCAACAAAUGCAGGUUGCGACAUUAUCAUUAUUGUUGCGCGAUGGUUGAAUUUUGAUUCACUGGCUACUGCACAAGUGUACAAAUCUACACUUGACGAAGCAUCGAUUCAAGUCGGAUUUCACCCACAAUGUACUUCAUCACAAUCGUGGUGUUGGGAUUGAGUGUAGGGCUCUCACACACAGGCUUCCGGUUCGAAUCCGGCGGGCAUCACAUUUUUUU